This is a long non-coding RNA of Gambusia affinis (western mosquitofish), 783 nucleotides long. RefSeq lists it as uncharacterized. The record is from RefSeq and is a predicted model, not a curated record. Lineage: Eukaryota; Metazoa; Chordata; Actinopteri; Cyprinodontiformes; Poeciliidae. The transcript is spliced from 5 exons.
AAAACAUUUGACAUUUUGGUAUGACAUAACCAAAACAUCAAAUCUGCAAAAUGGUGUUGCAGUAAAAAGAAGCAGCAGUCUGUGACUUUAUAAUUACCAACUAUUGAUCAUUAUACUUCACCUGCUGCUCUUUCUGAUCAACCAUCCUCGUUGAAUUCCCUCACCUGUUGUCACUUUCACCAGCGGAGUCUCUGCGUACAGUAAAGAGGCAAAGUAACAAAAUCCAGUUGAGGUAGAUUUGUUUGGAGCUGCAGGUCUGUCAAAGAAGCUGGCGUUCAUUACUUUGGGCAAGUCCAACACUCAUACCAGACAACACAAUGGAGCCUCUGUUUAAAAUGUUGUGCAAGAGAGGAAAAAACAAAUACCGGGAACUUUAUUUGUUGUGAAGCUGAUGCGUAGAGCCUUGCAUUGCCCCCAUCCAUCACGGACGUUGAUCACGGCUCCUGGAUGGGUUGAAGCUGACAGUCUGCAUGCUGCCUGCUCAUCACUCGUCCUUCGCAGCCUCAGAAUGUGUUUGGGAUCACAGGGUUAUUAAACUGUAAUAGCUGCCUUUUUGAGAAGCCCAGCGGGAUUUAUUCCUGAGUCAACAUGCCAGAACCCAUUUCCUCCUCACUCACAGCUGCCUCUCAACACCCGAUAGCAACUGCAGAAACACUGGAUGAAACUUGUGUAGAUUGCGAAAACCCUGGAAGUGACCCUGCAUAAUGUGCUAGCUUCACUUGGGGAAUUGAGCCAGUAAAUGUCCGUUUGAAACCAAGUUAUUGAACGGAAAAGGCACAUGAU